AAUGAACGCUAGCGGCGUGCUUAACACAUGCAAGUCGUACGAGAACUCUUUAGCUUGCUAAAGAUAGUAAAGUGGCGCACGGGUGAGUAACGCGUGGGUAAUCUACCUCUGAAUUUGGGAUAACUCCGCGAAAGCGGGGCUAAUACCGGAUAAUAUUUCAGGAUCUUCGGGUCUUGAAAUCAAAAGUGGCCUCUACAUGUAAGCUACUGUUUGGAGAUGAGCCCGCGUACCAUUAGCUUGUUGGUAGGGUAAUGGCCUACCAAGGCUACGAUGGUUAGCUGGUCUGAGAGGAUGAUCAGCCACACUGGAACUGACACACGGUCCAGACUCCUACGGGAGGCAGCAGUGAGGAAUUUUGCGCAAUGGGGGAAACCCUGACGCAGCAACGCCGCGUGAGUGAUGAAGGCUUUCGAGUCGUAAAGCUCUGUCAAGUGGGAAGAAUAUAAUAAAUGUUAAUAUCAUUUUUUACUGACGGUACCACUAAAGGAAGCACCGGCUAACUCCGUGCCAGCAGCCGCGGUAAUACGGAGGGUGCAAGCGUCAUUCGGAAUUAUUGGGCGUAAAGGGCGCGUAGGCGGUCUUUUAAGUCAGAUGUGAAAGCCCGGGGCUUAACCCCGGAAGUGCAUUUGAAACUGAAGGACUUGAGUAUGGGAAGAGGGGAAAGUGGAAUUCCUGGUUGUAAAGGUGAAAUUCGUAGAUAUCAGGAGGAACACCGGUGGCGAAGGCGACUUCCUGGACCAAUACUGACGCUGAGGCGCGAAGGCGUGGGGAGCAAACAGGAUUAGAUACCCCGGUAGUCCUAG
This 803-nucleotide ribosomal RNA is filed under the name uncultured bacterium. RNAcentral's name for it is "bacterial SSU rRNA". It matches the Rfam family "Bacterial small subunit ribosomal RNA", at positions 28 to 799 of the family's 1533-position model. The record is from RNAcentral.